This 72-nucleotide transfer RNA is filed under the name Clytia hemisphaerica. RNAcentral describes it as "tRNA-Gln for anticodon UUG". It matches the Rfam family "tRNA". Rfam says of the family: Transfer RNA (tRNA) molecules are approximately 80 nucleotides in length. Their secondary structure includes four short double-helical elements and three loops (D, anti-codon, and T loops). The record is from Rfam by way of RNAcentral. Lineage: Eukaryota; Metazoa; Cnidaria; Hydrozoa; Leptothecata; Clytiidae.
AGUUCCAUGGUGCAAUGGUUAGCACUCCAGACUUUGAAUCUGGCGAUCCGAGUUCAAGUCUUGGUGGAACCU